This 465-nucleotide ribosomal RNA is filed under the name Vreelandella stevensii. RNAcentral describes it as "partial 16S ribosomal RNA". It matches the Rfam family "Bacterial small subunit ribosomal RNA", at positions 338 to 795 of the family's 1533-position model. The record is from RNAcentral. Lineage: Bacteria; Pseudomonadati; Pseudomonadota; Gammaproteobacteria; Oceanospirillales; Halomonadaceae.
CCUACGGGGGGCAACAGUGGGGAAUAUUGGACAAUGGGGGGAACCCUGAUCCAGCCAUGCCGCGUGUGUGAAGAAGGCCCUCGGGUUGUAAAGCACUUUCAGUGAGGAAGAACGCCUGGUGGUUAAUACCCAUCAGGAAAGACAUCACUCACAGAAGAAGCACCGGCUAACUCCGUGCCAGCAGCCGCGGUAAUACGGAGGGUGCGAGCGUUAAUCGGAAUUACUGGGCGUAAAGCGCGCGUAGGUGGCUUGAUAAGCCGGUUGUGAAAGCCCCGGGCUCAACCUGGGAACGGCAUCCGGAACUGUCAAGCUAGAGUGCAGGAGAGGAAGGUAGAAUUCCCGGUGUAGCGGUGAAAUGCGUAGAGAUCGGGAGGAAUACCAGUGGCGAAGGCGGCCUUCUGGACUGACACUGACACUGAGGUGCGAAAGCGUGGGUAGCAAACAGGAUUAGAUACCCUGGUAGUC